Long non-coding RNA from Aricia agestis (brown argus), 92 nucleotides. RefSeq lists it as uncharacterized. The transcript has 3 exons. The record is from RefSeq and is a predicted model, not a curated record. NCBI's taxonomy places the organism in Eukaryota, Metazoa, Arthropoda, Insecta, Lepidoptera, Lycaenidae.
UGGGCGGCGGAGGCCCUUGAACCCUGGGGCCCUGGGCUUAAGCCCAAAUAGCCAUAUGGUAGAUCCGGCCCUGGACAAAAAUAUUGUUAUAA